CCUACGGGAGGCAGCAGUGGGGAAUUUUGCGCAAUGCUCGUAAGAGUGACGCAGCGACGCCGCGUGAAUGACGAAGGUCUUCGGGUCGUAAAGUUCUUUCGACAGGGAAGAAAAUGCCUAUAAGUAACUGUGUAUGUAUUGACGGUACCUGUAUAAGCAGCCCCGGCUAACUCCGUGCCAGCAGCCGCGGUAAUACGGAGGGGGCGAGCGUUGUUCGGAGGGACUGGGCGUAAAGAGCACGUAGGCGGUGUUGUAAGUCAUUAGUCAAAGACUAGAGCUCAACUUUAGUAAGGCUAGUGAUACUAUAAUACUAGAGUAGCAGAGAGGAUUGCAGAAUUCCUGGUGUAGCGGUGAAAUGCGUAGAUAUCAGGAGGAAUACCGUUAGCGAAGGCGGCAAUCUGGCUGGAAACUGACGCUGAGGUGCGAAAGCGUGGGUAGCAAACAGGAUUAGAUACCCCUGUAGUC
Molecule: ribosomal RNA, 465 nt
Filed under: uncultured bacterium
Lineage: Bacteria
Description: partial 16S ribosomal RNA
Rfam family: Bacterial small subunit ribosomal RNA
Source: RNAcentral